RNAcentral lists this non-coding RNA (61 nucleotides) under Sus scrofa (pig). The record is from RNAcentral. Lineage: Eukaryota; Metazoa; Chordata; Mammalia; Artiodactyla; Suidae.
CUGCGCCUCGGGAACCGGUCCGGUGCGGAGAGUUCUUCGUCCUGGGAAACGGGGCGCGGCC